UGCACUAUUCUCUGAGGCUGU
This 21-nucleotide microRNA is filed under the name Pristionchus pacificus. RNAcentral's name for it is "ppc-miR-8215a-3p". Lineage: Eukaryota; Metazoa; Nematoda; Chromadorea; Rhabditida; Neodiplogasteridae. The record is from miRBase by way of RNAcentral.